This is a small nuclear RNA of Aotus nancymaae (Ma's night monkey), 118 nucleotides long. Its record names the gene U4. It matches the Rfam family "U4 spliceosomal RNA". Rfam says of the family: U4 small nuclear RNA (U4 snRNA) is a component of the major U2-dependent spliceosome. The record is from Ensembl. NCBI's taxonomy places the organism in Eukaryota, Metazoa, Chordata, Mammalia, Primates, Aotidae.
AGCUUUGCACAGAGGCAGUAUUGUAACCAUGGAGGUUCAUCUGGGGUGAGAUUAUUGCUAAUUUAAAAUGAAAACAAUAAAGACAGAAUUAUUUUAGGAGACAGGCCACACAAGACUG